Molecule: ribosomal RNA, 253 nt
Filed under: uncultured bacterium
Lineage: Bacteria
Description: partial 16S ribosomal RNA
Rfam family: Bacterial small subunit ribosomal RNA
Source: RNAcentral
UACAGAGGAUGCAAGCGUUAUCCGGAAUGAUUGGGCGUAAAGCGUCUGUAGGUGGCUUUUUAAGUCCGCCGUCAAAUCCCAGGGCUCAACUCUGGACAGGCGGUGGAAACUACCAAGCUGGAGUACGGUAGGGGCAGAGGGAAUUUCCGGUGGAGCGGUGAAAUGCGUAGAGAUCGGAAAGAACACCAACGGCGAAGGCGGGUCUCUGGGCCGAUACUGACGCUGAGGAGCGAAAGCGUGGGGAGCGAACAGG